Molecule: long non-coding RNA, 1763 nt
Organism: Astatotilapia calliptera (eastern happy)
Lineage: Eukaryota; Metazoa; Chordata; Actinopteri; Cichliformes; Cichlidae
Source: Ensembl
GUUUUUGGACAUCUGUGACAUCUAUUAAUGUUAAAUCUAGUCUUUCUUUAGCGACAUAAGCAAACUGUUUUUACAUUUAAUGAACAUUUCUGUUUUAUCCAUCCAUCCAUCUUCUUCUGGUUAUCCAGGGCUGGGUCAUGGGGAAAGCAGCCUAGGCAGAGAAGCCCAGGCCUCCCUCUCCUCAGCCACCUCCUCUAGCUUGUCCGGAGGAACACCAAGGCAUUCCCAAGCCAGCCAGCUGAGAGAUGUAAUCUCUCCAGCGUGUCCUGGGUCUGCUCCUGGCUCUACCCUGAGCCCCUCCCGUAUGGCUGAACGUCUCACCCUAUGUAAUGAUGACAUUUCAAUUAUGUGUUUUAAAAAGAGACCACCUAUUUCUUUGAGGCUCUGAAUCAGCACUCCACACACCACAUCAAACUCUUACAAGUCUAGAAGAGCAGCUGUUGGACAGAAAGACAUCAGCUGAGUGGGAAGGAUUUUGACCUGAGAUGUGACUGCUCUGUGCUGUUGCUGAUGACUCCAGUUAAUCCUACAAGACAUGCUGUAGCCCUUUUUAAAAUGAUGCUUUCCUGACAUCAUUGUGUAUCGGCUGGCUAUCCAGACUGACAAGUGGGACAGUGAAUGUCACCUCUCCAGUGAGGAGGGAGCCUGAGAUUGAGAGUGUAAACUGAGGACACCAGGAGAGAGGAGUCGUUCAUCACAGAAGGUGUGGUCAGUGAAGAUGGUCACUGGCAGGUCGAAGGUCAUUGCAUCUCCAGCCCACAUCCACUGCCACUGUACUGAAGGGACGUUAAGACUUUCUUCUGCACUUACACUCUAAAAACUAAAACUGAGAUUACUUUAAAUUUUUGAAGCAACACUUUUAAACUAAAGCUUAAACAUAUUAAGUUGAAAUGAAUAAUUGUAGUCGUUACACGAACAUAAAAAAAUGGAGUAAAUAACACUGACAUGCUUGGUCAUGUAACUGAAAUAUAGAUGGUCAGUUAAUCCAAAAUGUUGUUCCAUUUACUUAAUAUUGUAAAAUUAACAUAAUCAAAAUUGUAAUUAAUAUUAAAUAUGAUAAAUGACCUGUAUUUGUACAGCACUUUUCCUAGUCCCUCUGGACCCCAAAGCGCUUUACACUACAUUCAGUCAUCCACCCAUUCACACAGUCGUGAUGGCAGCUACAUUGCAGCCACAGCUGCCCUGGGGUGCAUUGACAGAGUAGGCCUGUUGGUGACCGAGACUGUCGGAGCUGGGGCUCGAACCUGCAACCUUCCGAUUACAAGAAGAACUGCCAACUCUUGAGCCACGAUCGCCCCCUAACAUUCAUAUUUGAAUGGUAGUCUAAGUCUACAAAACCAAACAAAGUAGUUGAGUGUUUCAUAAUACAUGUAUGAAAAAUGACCACAUGUUAACAUUUUUCCAAGUGAAAAUGUAAAUUUCAUAAACAUGGCAAUAACUCGAAAUAAACAAGCACUAAAAAGAAGGGAGCCUUUCCCCUUUUAGCUCAAAGCCUCACUUACGUGAAGGAUGAAUGUCAAACCAGGAGAGCAAACACAAACGCUCAGAGUAUUUAAAAAACAAAAUGAACAAUACAAUGAAAAAGGCUCAUGGUACUCAAUUACUCUACGUUAUCGUGUAUUACUUGCACUUUUCAGUUGUAGUUGCUGUCAAUAAAUAAUAUUGAUUUGAAUAAUUAAUGAUUUUAGUACAAGAUUCUGAGGAGUAUAGAUACCUAUUUCUCAAAUAUUUUGAUUCAAUUUCAAACAAAAAUAUUAAGCACA